UGAAUCCAGUUACGGUGGCCACUAAGGCCU
Molecule: small RNA, 30 nt
Filed under: Bombyx mori (domestic silkworm)
Lineage: Eukaryota; Metazoa; Arthropoda; Insecta; Lepidoptera; Bombycidae
Description: ovarian small RNA-31117
Source: RNAcentral